GAUGAACGCUGGCGGCGUGCCUAAUACAUGCAAGUCGAGCGAACAGACGCGGAGCUUGCUCCUCUGACGUUAGCGGCGGACGGGUGAGUAACACGUGUAUCACCUACCUAUAAGACUGGGAUCACUUCGGGACACCGGAGCUAAUACCGGAUGAUCUAUUGAACCGCAUGGUUCAUUAGUGAAAGACGGUUUUGCUGUCACUUAUAGAUGGAUCCGCGCCGCAUUAGCUAGUUGGUAAGGUAACGGCUUACCAAGGCGACGAUGCGUAGCCGACCUGAGAGAGUGAUCGGCCACACUGGAACUGAAACACGGUCCAGACGCCUACGGGAGGCAGCAGUAGGGAAUCUGCCGCAAUGGGCGGAAGCCUGACGGAGCAACGCCGCGUGAGUGAUGAAGAUCUUCGGAUCGUAAAACUCUGUUAUUAGGGAAGAACAAAUGUGUAAGUAACUAUGCACGGCUUGACGGUACCUAAUCAGAAAGCAACGGCUAACUACGUG
Molecule: ribosomal RNA, 497 nt
Filed under: uncultured bacterium
Lineage: Bacteria
Description: partial 16S ribosomal RNA
Rfam family: Bacterial small subunit ribosomal RNA
Source: RNAcentral